Molecule: long non-coding RNA, 825 nt
Organism: Thamnophis elegans (Western terrestrial garter snake)
Lineage: Eukaryota; Metazoa; Chordata; Lepidosauria; Squamata; Natricidae
Exons: 3
Source: RefSeq, a predicted model, not a curated record
GGGCCCAUCGGGUUGGCUUCACCGAGCGGCUUCGUUGCUUUUGCUCCGACGGAAUCUGAGGCGGAGAAAAGAACCGCUCCUUCGGCAGGAUGUGUUUUUAAACUACAAUGGCAUUUUCCAUGAAACCACUGAAUUUCUGCAAACUUGCAUACAUCAGUGCAAUAACUUUGAGUUUUAGCAACUUUCUUGGUAAGUAUUUUUCAUAUACUAUAGAGACCUUGCUAGAGAUGAGCUCUUAUUGAUAGCAACAUCCCUGUAAGUGACAUAAAUCCAGUCCAUCGAUCUAUCUAAUGUUAUGCCAAAGCAUGAUUAAGUGUGAGAUAUCUAAAGAUCAAGCAAGCAUCUGUUUCACACACAUUCCCUACUUUAUUUUAUUCCUUUCUUGCAUAGCUGGGAUGAGAAUUUUGGAAGUGUUUAUUUUAGGUGAUUUUUUAAAGACUGCUGAUGUUAAAAUGAGCCCACUUUAUAAUAGAUUAUAAAGCUGUGUUACUUAAAUUAACCAAAUCUAAUACAACUAUAAUGUCAUGAUUGCAUAUAACAAUCUAGUUUUAAAGAAAAAUGUCGAUGGGGAGGAGGGAACACACAAAGCUGAUGCUUAAUUGAACCCUUCAGCUUGGCCUUGUCUGGGAUUUCUGUUCCAUUCAUUAAAAGUACAUCAAAUUCAUCACCGUCCGUCACCAACAAAAAGUGGAGGCUACAAAGUUAAUUACCAGCCUCCAGCAUCAUCCUUAUCUCCAAGGGUUCCUUGGUCCCCAUAUCAGGCAAUAGGUAUUCUUAGAAAAUAAACAUGCUGAUUGAUUGCAAUCUAAUGCUUGAGUUAAAUUA